UACGUAGGUGACCAGCGUUGUCCGGAUUUACUGGGCGUAAAGAGCGCGCAGGCGGUCGUUCAAGUCGAGUGUGAAAGCCCCCGGCUCAACUGGGGAGGGUCAUUCGAUACUGAUCGACUUGAAGGCAGGAGAGGGAAGUGGAAUUCCCGGUGUAGUGGUGAAAUGCGUAGAUAUCGGGAGGAACACCAGUGGCGAAGGCGGCUCACUGGCCCGUAACUGACGCUGAGGUGCGAAAGCGUGGGGAGCAAACAGG
RNAcentral lists this ribosomal RNA (253 nucleotides) under uncultured bacterium. RNAcentral describes it as "partial 16S ribosomal RNA". It matches the Rfam family "Bacterial small subunit ribosomal RNA", at positions 524 to 776 of the family's 1533-position model. The record is from RNAcentral.